UUGUAAUUGUAUUAUUUUUUCAUCUGCUUUGUUUCCUAUAUGCUUAACACUGUUUUUUCUCCAAGUGCUCAAUGGAUCUGGCCAAAAUCUUUCAACAUUUUCAGGCUACUUGUCUGACUCAUUUUUAUUUCUUCCUGGAAAACUUUCCAUCCAGAGCACUGCAUCCUUCUGCUGUAAUACCAACUGGCUGUUCCAUAGGCCAGAUGAAUUUCUCUUCUCCUGGGACAUCUCUCUGUCUCUUCCAUAGUAGGUUCCCUGUUUCCUCCAUCUAUGACUUCCUCUUUCUUAUCAGUUUCCUUUGCUGGAGCAUAACCAUGAGAAGUACAUUUUUUGAGCCCCUGUAUGAGUCUUUAGUUUAUAGAGUUCUAUUUCCAAAAGCAUUUUUCCUCAGAAUUCUGAAGGCCUUUCUUCACAGUCUUUUAGCUUUCAGUGUUGCUAGAGAGAAGACUUUCCAUUUCUGAUACUUUACAUAUUUGGCUUACUUUUUUCUCUUUCCAGAAGCUUCUAGGGUAUGAUAUGUUUGGAAGUGAAUCUUAAUCCAUUAUACCCUUUCAAUCUGGAGAUUGCGUCAUUUCGUUCUUGGAAAGUUCCAUUUCCCCUUUCUCUGUCCUUUCUUUCUGGAACUCUUAUUGUCAAAAAUUGGACAUCCUUGAUUUAGCUUCAAAUUUUCUUAUCUUUCACUCCUAUUUUCUAUUUUUGUCUUUUUAUCCUACUUCCUUAGACUUUAUCUUCUACUUUAUUGAAUUUUUCAUUUUGGUGCUCAAAUUUUUAAUUUUCAAGGAGACUUGCUUGUUCUGUCCCUUUUUCAUAACAUCUUGUUCUUUCAUGGACCUUUAACUAACUCUCUAAGAAUACUAAAUACCAAUAUUAAGCAUUAAAAAAGGUUGCUUUUUUCUCAACAUUAUCUUUUUUUCAUUCAUAUUCUGUUUCAUGUUUUUCUUGUUGUUUGCAUUGCCUCUCAUUUAUCUAGUAAUUUAUUUAUUUAUUUGAGAUGGAGUCUUGCUCUGUCACCCAGGCUGGAGUGCAGUGGUACGAUCUCAGCUCACUGCAACUUCCACCUCCCAGGUUCAAGUGAUUCUUCUGCCUCAGCCUCUGUAGUAGCUGGGGUUACAGGCACCUGCCACCAUGCCUGGCUAAUUUUUGUAUUUUUAGUAGAGAUGGGGUUUCACCAUGUUGGUCAGGCUGGGCUUGAACUCCUGACCUCAGGCGAUUCGCCUGCCUCGGCCUCCCAAAGUGCUGGAUUUUCACGCCACCGUACCAAGCUACCUCUCUUUCGUAUUAGAGCCUUUCUUCAAAUGCCUGCUGACCUUUGGUUGUCCAUUCAUAAAUUGACUAAUUAGUCCAUUAAAAAGUCGACUGAAAGCUCUGUGUUUGUGGAUGUGGCUU
This 1386-nucleotide long non-coding RNA is filed under the name Homo sapiens (human). RNAcentral describes it as "HSALNT0045863". The record is from RNAcentral. Lineage: Eukaryota; Metazoa; Chordata; Mammalia; Primates; Hominidae.